CCUACGGGAGGCAGCAGUGGGGAAUAUUGGGCAAUGGGCGCAAGCCUGACCCAGCAACGCCGCGUGAAGGAAGAAGGCUUUCGGGUUGUAAACUUCUUUUCUCAGGGACGAAGCAAGUGACGGUACCUGAGGAAUAAGCCACGGCUAACUACGUUCCAGCAGCCGCGGUCAUACGUAGGUGGCAAGCGUUAUCCGGAUUUACUGGGUGUAAAGGGCGUGUAGGCGGGGACGCAAGUCAAGUGUGAAAACCACGGGCUCAACCUGUGGCCUGCAUUUGAAACUGUGUUUCUUGAGUACUGGAGAGGCAGACGGAAUUCCUAGUGUAGCGGUGAAAUGCGUAGAUAUUAGGAGGAACACCAGUGGCGAAGGCGGUCUGCUGGACAGCAACUGACGCUGAGGCGCGAAAGCGUGGGGAGCAAACAGGAUUAGAUACCCCAGUAGUC
Molecule: ribosomal RNA, 443 nt
Filed under: uncultured bacterium
Lineage: Bacteria
Description: partial 16S ribosomal RNA
Rfam family: Bacterial small subunit ribosomal RNA
Source: RNAcentral